This 68-nucleotide transfer RNA is filed under the name marine eukaryotic metagenome. It matches the Rfam family "tRNA". From Rfam's summary of the family: Transfer RNA (tRNA) molecules are approximately 80 nucleotides in length. Their secondary structure includes four short double-helical elements and three loops (D, anti-codon, and T loops). The record is from RNAcentral.
CCGAUGUAGCUCAGUGGUAGAGCGUUUCCUUGGUAAGGAAGAGGUCACGAGUUCAAUUCUCGUCAUUG